AAUAUGGAUGUCUUUUUUUUUUUUUUUCCCUGCCGAAUUGUUCUGGCUUGAACUUCUAAAACAAUGUUGAAUACACGUGAUGAGAGUGGACAUCCUUGACUUGUUCCUGGUAUUAGAUGGACCCGGAGAUCAGGGCCAGAGCCAAAGGCAGAAGCUUAACGGAGCCAUCCAGGCACCUGCAAGACUGGCUUGCCUUCUUGUGCUUUUGUCAUCAUCAUGGAGAACUUCUGGAGAACUUCUGUAGUCUAGUUGAAGUCUGAAGAGGAACACGGACAGAGUGGACCCAAGCUCGACUCACGGCAAGUAGUCAAGCCCAGCCAGAUCUCCGGCUUGAAGCAGUCACCCAGCCAAGCCUGUCAGCCAACCUGCAAAAGCAUGAGUGACAAUGAUUAUUUUAAGUUGAGAUUUAGGGCAGCAACAGCAACUGAAACAUAAGUACACAUCUUUCUCUUAGACUCAUCCUAAGGGCAAAUCUUGUUACCUCUUCCUUCAGUGCUACAGGUCCAGAAUCUAGCACACUUUCUGGUAAUGAGCAGAUGUUCAAUUAACAUCUGUUGCAGUCACAUUUACAUUUCUUCUAAAAUUAGUGACUUAGAAUAAAACUGAAAGGAA
Molecule: long non-coding RNA, 612 nt
Organism: Mirounga angustirostris (Northern elephant seal)
Lineage: Eukaryota; Metazoa; Chordata; Mammalia; Carnivora; Phocidae
Exons: 3
Source: RefSeq, a predicted model, not a curated record